This 420-nucleotide ribosomal RNA is filed under the name uncultured bacterium. Its description in RNAcentral is "bacterial SSU rRNA". It matches the Rfam family "Bacterial small subunit ribosomal RNA", at positions 355 to 774 of the family's 1533-position model. The record is from RNAcentral.
UAAGGAAUAUUGCUCAAUGGGAGAAAUCCUGAAGCAGCAACGCCGCGUGGAGGAUGAAGGGUCUAUGACUUGUAAACUCCUGUAAAGAAGGAAAAAAUUCCCAUUAGAUGGGAGAUGAUGGUACUUCUGGAGUAAGCCCCGGCUAACUACGUGCCAGCAGCCGCGGUAAUACGUAGGGGGCAAGCGUUGUCCGGAUUUACUGGGUGUAAAGGGUGCUCAGGCGGAUUUGUAAGUCAGAGGUGAAAUCUUACGGCUUAACUGUGAAACUGCCUUUGAUACUGCAAGCCUAGAGUAUGGAAGAGAGUGAUGGAAUAUCUGGUGUAGCAGUGAAAUGCGUAGAUAUCAGAUAGAACACCAAUGGCGAAGGCAGUCACUUGGUCCAUUACUGACGCUAAAGCACGAAAGCGUGGGUAGCAAACA